GACGAACGCUGGCGGCGUGCCUAACACAUGCAAGUCGAGCGAGUGAAUCUCCUUCGGGAGUGAAGCUAGCGGCGGACGGGUGAGUAACACGUGGGCAACCUGCCUCAUAGAGGGGAAUAGCCUUUCGAAAGGAAGAUUAAUACCGCAUAAGAUUGUAGCUUCGCAUGAAGUAGCAAUUAAAGGAGCAAUCCGCUAUGAGAUGGGCCCGCGGCGCAUUAGCUAGUUGGUGAGGUAACGGCUCACCAAGGCGACGAUGCGUAGCCGACCUGAGAGGGUCAUCGGCCACAUUGGGACUGAGACACGGCCCAGAAUCCUACGGGAGGCAGCAGUGGGGAAUAUUGCACAAUGGGGGAAACCCUGAUGCAGCAACGCCGCGUGAGUGAUGACGGCCUUCGGGUUGUAAAGCUCUGUCUUCAGAGACGAUAAUGACGGUACCUGAGGAGGAAGCCACGGCUAACUACGUGCCAGCCGCCGCCGUAA
Molecule: ribosomal RNA, 480 nt
Filed under: uncultured bacterium
Lineage: Bacteria
Description: partial 16S ribosomal RNA
Rfam family: Bacterial small subunit ribosomal RNA
Source: RNAcentral